Long non-coding RNA from Mastomys coucha (southern multimammate mouse), 534 nucleotides. RefSeq lists it as uncharacterized. The transcript is spliced from 4 exons. The record is from RefSeq and is a predicted model, not a curated record. NCBI's taxonomy places the organism in Eukaryota, Metazoa, Chordata, Mammalia, Rodentia, Muridae.
GGGCGGGGCCGGGGCGGGCCGGGCGCCCUAGCUACAUAGCAUCCCAGCCAAUUUACACGCGGGCCCACCCUCAGUGCUGGGUGGGGCGCUGCGGGUUGAAGCGUGGCUGUCUGCUAAGGUCAAGAAGCUGUGUGGAUCCGGGGGCAUUUGACGGGGAGGGGAUCGCAUUUUGUUUUUCCAGUUACAAGUGAACUUUUUCAUGGGGGUUUGCAUGACUUGGAAUACAAGAGUCAACCAGAAGCAUAUCCAGUAUCAGUUCACUCGUCCUGUUACCAUUACGACAUGGAAUAAAGCGCCCACACAGCCCAGUGAACGAGUAGGUUGUCCUAUAUUUGUAUCAGCUCCCAAGAGUGUCUCAAGCUGGAAACUGAGCUUCCAUUGCAUGGACUUUUGAGGACCAUACAACAUGAAAAGGGUUCCCCUUUUCCCACCUUCUGAGGAUAGGAUUACACAUUUGUGUAAGUUCUGAGGAUCCAAACACCAGUUGUCAAGCUUCUGUGGUAAGUGAUUAAACCACUGAACAGUCUCAGGUAA